GUCAACAAAACCCUCCGUUUCUCCUUUUAAUAUCUGUUUUUAGGAACUCAGAGCCAGUUUCCAAAACUCAGACUUCUUUCACGCUUCCUCCUGCUUCUUACAAGUCUUCAUAUAUCUGUCAGGUGGUAGAACAAUAUUUUAUACAUGAAUUGUCUCAGACAUUGUAAUGGAAGCUGACAGAAUUGAUGCUGAUUUUUCUUCAGACAUAAAUAACUUCUGAAACUUUAUGGAAUGAGUGUCAAGACUUGAAAAAAGUAAAUCUGUCAAGAUUUUAAAGGAUAACAUCUAGAGGCUGUCUGAGCCACGAUGACAUUUUGGAGUUCAUGGGAGUUUACCAACACAGCAAAGAUCUUAUGCUCAUGAAGGACCAUUACAAAUGGCAGUAAAAUACUACAGCUCAAGAGAAGUGAGUGUAGAACCAUCAGUGACUAACUCUCCAGGAACUGGCUGCGUACAGCCGAGAUGGAAGAGUGGCUUCAGCUAUUUUUGCUCUCAUCUCUGCCCAGAAGUGGAAGCCCCAGGGUGGACAGAAACGCUCUUCAGGUCUCAAGCUAUAAAUAUUUAACUGUUCAUGAGCUAACACUUGGUCUACGUACUCGUAAAGGUACAAGUCAUAUUGGCUUUAUCAGUCAGUCAAUUAUACUGGGAGCUUCCAGAGCUCACGGGUCGGCACAUAGCUGGCACAGACAAUGUCUAUUGAAUGGAUAACAUUUUUGAGUAAGUAAGAAAAUUUUUGGACUGCAACUACAGUGCCUUCUAUUUAACUCCUAAGUACUUGCAAGCAACUUUCUAGACAGCAGGAGCAAGCUGUUUGUGAUAGAAAUUUACUACCAGUCACUUCACCAGUAAUAGAAGCUUUAUCAAUGCAAUAAGCCUAUAUCCAGUUGUCAUACAUUGUGUGCAAGGCAACUGGAUAUGAACGAAAUAGUUUCUUUCCACAUAGAAAUUUUACCAACAAUGUGGUGAGUACGUUGGCAAGCACGUAAUGAAUUAAACUUCUCUCCAGCCAACAUGCUUACACCCCAGGGUAAUACUGAG
Molecule: long non-coding RNA, 1038 nt
Filed under: Mus spicilegus (steppe mouse)
Lineage: Eukaryota; Metazoa; Chordata; Mammalia; Rodentia; Muridae
Description: lncRNA (ENSMSIG00000028336.1)
Source: RNAcentral